Molecule: ribosomal RNA, 752 nt
Filed under: uncultured Enterococcaceae bacterium
Lineage: Bacteria; Bacillati; Bacillota; Bacilli; Lactobacillales; Enterococcaceae
Description: bacterial SSU rRNA
Rfam family: Bacterial small subunit ribosomal RNA
Source: RNAcentral
AAGUCGAACGCUUCUUUCCUCCCGAGUGCUUGCACUCAAUUGGAAAGAGGAGUGGCGGACGGGUGAGUAACACGUGGGUAACCUACCCAUCAGAGGGGGAUAACACUUGGAAACAGGUGCUAAUACCGCAUAACAGUUUAUGCCGCAUGGCAUAAGAGUGAAAGGCGCUUUCGGGUGUCGCUGAUGGAUGGACCCGCGGUGCAUUAGCUAGUUGGUGAGGUAACGGCUCACCAAGGCCACGAUGCAUAGCCGACCUGAGAGGGUGAUCGGCCACACUGGGACUGAGACACGGCCCAGACUCCUACGGGAGGCAGCAGUAGGGAAUCUUCGGCAAUGGACGAAAGUCUGACCGAGCAACGCCGCGUGAGUGAAGAAGGUUUUCGGAUCGUAAAACUCUGUUGUUAGAGAAGAACAAGGACGUUAGUAACUGAACGUCCCCCUGACGGUAUCUAACCAGAAAGCCACGGCUAACUACGUGCCAGCAGCCGCGGUAAUACGUAGGUGGCAAGCGUUGUCCGGAUUUAUUGGGCGUAAAGCGAGCGCAGGCGGUUUCUUAAGUCUGAUGUGAAAGCCCCCGGCUCAACCGGGGAGGGUCAUUGGAAACUGGGAGACUUGAGUGCAGAAGAGGAGAGUGGAAUUCCAUGUGUAGCGGUGAAAUGCGUAGAUAUAUGGAGGACACCAGUGGCGAAGGCGGCUCUCUGGUCUGUAACUGACGCUGAGGCUCGAAAGCGUGGGAGCAACAGGAUUAGAUA